AUUAACUUUGCGGUGCUUUGUUUGACGGACCUCCCCUCCUCGUGUAGGAAAGGGCUUUCACGUCAAUUAAAAGGGAAUCGGGUGUGAAUCCCGAACAGUCCCGCUGCUGUGUUUCCCUAAGAGUUGAGUUUGCUAUUCUGAUCGUGGAAUAGGACGAAACUUCUUGUUGUGACCUGUGAGGACAUUGCUACUAAGGUGGCGAUGAGCUGACCACUGAGCUUCAUCUGAAAAAAGCUUGGGAAGGUGCAGGAUCAUUGGGAUAAGUCAGAAGACCUGCAAAGCAUUUCUGCGGCUU
RNAcentral lists this non-coding RNA (295 nucleotides) under Bacteroidales bacterium KA00251. Lineage: Bacteria; Pseudomonadati; Bacteroidota; Bacteroidia; Bacteroidales. RNAcentral also lists the same sequence under 1 other name. The record is from RNAcentral.